This 264-nucleotide ribosomal RNA is filed under the name Salmonella enterica subsp. enterica serovar Weltevreden. RNAcentral describes it as "partial 23S ribosomal RNA". It matches the Rfam family "Bacterial large subunit ribosomal RNA", at positions 456 to 722 of the family's 2925-position model. The record is from RNAcentral. Lineage: Bacteria; Pseudomonadati; Pseudomonadota; Gammaproteobacteria; Enterobacterales; Enterobacteriaceae. RNAcentral also lists the same sequence under 1 other name.
UCCUCCAAGGCUAAAUACUCCUGACUGACCGAUAGUGAACCAGUACCGUGAGGGAAAGGCGAAAAGAACCCCGGCGAGGGGAGUGAAAAAGAACCUGAAACCGUGUACGUACAAGCAGUGGGAGCACCCUUCGGGGUGUGACUGCGUACCUUUUGUAUAAUGGGUCAGCGACUUAUAUUCUGUAGCAAGGUUAACCGAAUAGGGGAGCCGUAGGGAAACCGAGUCUUAACCGGGCGUUAAGUUGCAGGGUAUAGACCCGAAACC